CUACUCUGGUGCUCUAUGCUUGAAUGGAACCACACCAAUCCAUCCCGAACUUGGUGGUGAAACGUUCAAGGGAUUGACAAACUUAUCGGAAGUCUGAUAGGAAAACUCAAUUUAGUGCCAGGGUG
This 125-nucleotide ribosomal RNA is filed under the name Chromochloris zofingiensis. The record is from RNAcentral. Lineage: Eukaryota; Viridiplantae; Chlorophyta; Chlorophyceae; Sphaeropleales; Chromochloridaceae.